GUGGGGAAUAUUGGACAAUGGGGGGAACCCUGAUCCAGCCAUGCCGCGUGUGUGAAGAAGGCCUUUUGGUUGUAAAGCACUUUAAGCGAGGAGGAGGCUCCUUUAGUUAAUACCUAAAGAGAGUGGACGUUACUCGCAGAAUAAGCACCGGCUAACUCUGUGCCAGCAGCCGCGGUAAUACAGAGGGUGCGAGCGUUAAUCGGAUUUACUGGGCGUAAAGCGUGCGUAGGCGGCUUUUUAAGUCGGAUGUGAAAUCCCUGAGCUUAAAUUAGGAAUUGCAUUCGAUACUGGAAAGCUAGAGUAUGGGAGAGGAUGGUAGAAUUCCAGGUGUAGCGGUGAAAUGCGUAGAGAUCUGGAGGAAUACCGAUGGCGAAGGCAGCCAUCUGGCCUAAUACUGACGCUGAGGUACGAAAGCAUGGGGAGCAAACAGGAUUAGAAACCCUGGUAGUCC
Molecule: ribosomal RNA, 451 nt
Filed under: uncultured bacterium
Lineage: Bacteria
Description: partial 16S ribosomal RNA
Rfam family: Bacterial small subunit ribosomal RNA
Source: RNAcentral